This 266-nucleotide ribosomal RNA is filed under the name uncultured bacterium. RNAcentral's name for it is "partial 16S ribosomal RNA". It matches the Rfam family "Bacterial small subunit ribosomal RNA", at positions 123 to 406 of the family's 1533-position model. The record is from RNAcentral.
AAUCUGCCUUUAGGUCGGGGACAACAGUUGGAAACGACUGCUAAUACCGGAUGUGCAGCAAUGUGAAAGAUUUAUUGCCUAAAGAUGAGCUCGCGUCUGAUUAGCUAGUAGGUGUGGUAAUGGCGCACCUAGGCGACGAUCAGUAACUGGUCUGAGAGGAUGACCAGUCACACUGGGACUGAGACACGGCCCAGACUCCUACGGGAGGCAGCAGUGGGGAAUUUUCCGCAAUGGGCGCAAGCCUGACGGAGCAAUACCGCGUGAGG